Molecule: ribosomal RNA, 173 nt
Filed under: uncultured Bacteroidota bacterium
Lineage: Bacteria; Pseudomonadati; Bacteroidota
Description: uncultured Bacteroidetes bacterium partial 16S ribosomal RNA
Rfam family: Bacterial small subunit ribosomal RNA
Source: RNAcentral
ACUCCUACGGGAGGCAGCAGUAACGAAUCUUCCACAAUGCGCGAAAGCGUGAUGGAGCAAUGCCGCGUGCAGGAUGAAGCCCUUCGGGGUGUAAACUGCUGUCAGGUUUUAGGAACACAAUGACCAAAGCCAAAGGAAGAGACGACUAACUCUGUGCCAGCAGCCGCGGUAAU